CCUUUGUUUGAUGUCGUUGUUGCGUCACUGAUGUUGUUGUUGACUGGACAUUUUCAGAUGAAAUUAUUCACAGAUGUUCACUUAAAACAUAUCUGCCAGUUUGGUUUAUAUAAGUUGAUAUUGGUAUGAGUAAAGAAAGUAUCCAUGUGAAAUUAAUAACUAAGA
Haliotis rubra (blacklip abalone) is the source of this 165-nucleotide long non-coding RNA. RefSeq lists it as uncharacterized. The transcript has 3 exons. The record is from RefSeq and is a predicted model, not a curated record. Lineage: Eukaryota; Metazoa; Mollusca; Gastropoda; Lepetellida; Haliotidae.